UACUCGGGAGGCUGAGGCAGGAGAAUGACGUGAACCCAGGAGGCCAAGCUUGCAGUGAGCUGAGAUCACACCACUGCACUCCAGCCUGGGGGACAGAGUGAGAAUCCAUCAAAAAAAAGAAACAAGAAUACAAUAGCACAAUUCAUGUGACAACCACAUGUAGGUUUAGUGAUGUUUGUUCUCUGUGAAGCUAAGCUAUCUCAGCUAGGUGGUUGAGGACAUUUGUACUGUCUGGACUAGGCAGAGGUGAAUAUGAUUGAAUGUGUAAGACAGUGCCAAUUAUGUACCAUAUAUAGCUGUGUGUGUUUCCUUCUGUCUAAAAUAUCAACCUAUGCUUGCCUUUAAUCUCAUCCUCAAUUGCAAUGCUCAAAACCCCUCCUAGUGUCAUUAUAUUGUCAAAAAAUACUCUGAAUCACAGGUUUAGAGAGAUAAAAAUUCUAACUUCUCUUAAAGAAACAACGUCUGAAAAUCUUUUCAUUUGUGUUGUUCCACAUGAAAUGACUUUAAGUGUUGAAUGUGCACAUUAUUCCUACAUUCUGAGACUUAGAUUUAUAGCUUAUGAGUUGUCCUUCUAAAGGUAUACUCUUCAUAUGCCAGUGACUCCCCAGCUUAUACAGCAGUUAUGCCUUAUUGGUGAGGGAUGCGUUCAAAGACUCCUUGUGGAUGCCUGAAACCUGUUACCAAACCCCAUAUAUCUCUAGUGCACAUCUAAAUCUGUGUUUAGACGAACAGAACCAGCUUUGUACCCGAUUAUCUUCACCAAGAUGUCUGACUUACGUAAAUCUCAAACUUGUCGUAUUUAACACAAAGUUCUUAAUUUCCUUCCUUUUUCAAGCCCACUUCUGCUGUGUUUUCUGUUUAAGUAAAUAACACUCAUCCAUUUAGUUAUGUCAAAAACCUAGGAAUUAUCCAUGACUUCUCUCUUACUCUUUCUGCACUUUAAAUGCAUCAGCUAGUACUGUCUUCAAGAAUGUAUCCUUUUUACCCAGUCCUCGCCAUCUCCUUUACUAUCCCCCUUGCCCAAGCCACUAUACUUUCAUCCUGCUGUGGAAGCAGUUUUCCAACCCUCCUUACUCUCCUUUUGACCACUUAAUAUACAUUCUUCACUAGCCAGAACAAUCUUUGAAAAAUGUAACCUACCAUAUGUCACUCCCCAUUUGAAAUGUUCCUAUUGGGAUUUUAAGAUGAUAUUAAAUACUCAUUUUCUCAGCUCUCAAGUCUGGAUUCAAUUGAGAGGCAGACAGAUUUGGGCAAAUGAGAUAAAAUAUUUGUUUUGUAUUGAUAAAUGGUUGGAUUGGCAGAUAUUGCCUUGUAUUGAGUAUGGUCGUAAAGACAUCACUAAUAUUUAACUUAUCUACCUAUUUAUUUUCCCUCACUUUGAAGUGUGGUUAGAAUUUGGAGGAAGCAAUUUCAUGAAGGUAGAAAUAAGAUUGCCCUCAUAAAAUAUGUUAUGUCCUCAUAAAAUAAAUAUUUAUAUAUUAUAUAUAAAAUAUAUAAAUUUAUUAUCUGAUCCUUCCCAAGAGAGAUUCCGCACCUCUGGUUGCCCUUAGGCUUAAUCAUUAAGCCAGAACCAUAAAGAGAACAAAAAACAUUACCUGUGCCCAACGUUUUAUGGCCUUUGUCACUCCUCAAGUAGUCUCUCCAAAGGAGGAAUGUCUGACGUGGUAAGUAAGUUUGAGAGGAAACUGGAUUUUGUUGGAUCCACCCCUUCUGAAGUCUCUUGUUGUCUUCCUCCCUCAAGAGAUGUCUGCCCUAUUUUCCACUUGUUUGGAAACUAUCUCCCCUGUCUGGUGUCCUUGCAGCUGUGCAUCUGUCAGUCUGUGCUGGAACUACAGUACUGUUAUGUCAGUAACAUACAUCACAGUCGUACGUCUCCAGGCUUCUUAUCUUCCUUUGAACCUGACCUGGCUACUGUUUGGUGGAUUAUAGAGGAAAAGCUGUAAUGGGAAAGUAGGUUGGGUGAAGGGAUGAGAAAAAGGAAAGCAUCGUGGAGCACAUUAGCAGGCUUUCUCCAUGAAGAAGCAGGAUGAGUACCUUCUCACUGCCAAAGUAGUUGGAGGGACAUCAAACACCAGUGAUGGGAACACUGAACCUCACAUAAGGGGCAAUGCAGCAUCUCUGCCUUCUUCUGGGUAUUCCUCUUAAAUGGCUUGACAAUAACCACCAACCAGCACUGCCAUACAUGUGUCCUGUACCUAUCAGAGGCACUAGGGCAGUUUUGGAACAGAGAGCCCAUAGAAAGGCUACUGCUUAGAGAUAGCCAUUUUCUUCUUGGAGCUGGACCAGUGAAUUAGACGCAUGGAGGAGAGCUGGAAAAUCCCUUUUUGGAAGAGCUACACAAAACCAAAAUUUGGAAUUCGUAGCUAAUAACCAUAAAAAUUAAGAAAUGACUGUUGGAAGAGCACUGGAAAUCACCUGAUUAAGUUAAGAAAAACUAACUAGCUCAUGAGAAAAUUAUUUUCAGGCCAGCUGUAGCCUGUACCCUUUUGAAAAUCCCCUGACUAGUGAGUUCAUUUUUGUUGGAAUAUAGAAUUUUUCUUUUCUAAGCAGAUGUAAACUUGUCUUUCUGUGGUUGGCUUUGGAGCCCACAAGAUAAUUAAAUGGCAGUGCUAACUGAAAGCCUGGGCUGUGCUUAUAGGUUCAAGAGGCAGGUAGAAGACACUGGGUUGGGGAAGUAGGGCUAUGGAACUGUGGCUCUGGCUAAGAUUACUAAUGUCUGUGAGCGCUGGAAGAAGGGAAAUAGAAAUGAAAAAACAUGAAUAUGGUUGAUGGGCCAGACUGAGUGUUGAGGUCCUAUGAUGUAUCAAAGAAUGGCUUACAUGAAAGUUAUAAGGUGUGGAUGGAAAAGGUCAGUGUGGAAGAGAACAGAAUUACUAGCUUUAAAGCUCAGAGACAUCUGCUUUUCAGGAAAAAAAAAUACAAAAGUCUAUGAGUGAAGGAAGGAGACUAAGAGAAAGAAAGGUGAGGAAAAGAGGAAGAGAAUAAAAAGGAACAGAAAUGAGAAAAAUAUGACACAAGAAAAAAAGAAAAAUUAGGAGGAAGGAAAGAAGAAAGGAAGGCAGAGAGGGAGGAAAGGAAGGAAGGAGACAGGGAGGAGAAACAGAAAAAGAGAGAAUGAAAGAAGUGGAAAUCAAGAAAGAAACAACAUAAGAUUCUACAGAGAGGACUCAUUAUAGGCAAAAUAAGUAAAAGAAAUUUCUUUUGGCAUUGUCCUAUCUCCCUUGCAUUCUCAUCUACUAAGCCUUUUCUUCCCUGUGGGCAAUAUUAUUGGCAUGAGUAAACUCUCACCUUAAUAUUCCUAAUAACCAUAAGUUUGUCCUCUACUCCCUAAAACUACUGCCGUGUGUGCCAUGCUCCAAAGUAAUCUCUUAUUCUCACUUCGUAACCUUUCAUCUCAGCUGUGUGUCAGUUAAGAAGAAUUUCAUCAAACUAAGCCUCUUGGAUUUUAAAAGAAUGCUCUUGCCCAGUUAUAUCUUUAGUUGGCAUCAUUUCAGGUAUGAAAAGGCUCUGCUCUAUGUGCCCUUAUCAAUCCUGAAAGAGCUAUCUCCCCAAGCAAAAUGAGAAGGACAAUCAUAACUGGCUCAAGGCUAGUCCAAUCUGGCUCUGUCCUUAGAUCCAAAAAGUUGAAGUUGUAAGUGACCCUAGAAAUGAUCUAUUUCACACUUAUUGUCCAGACAAUGAAACUCCAGUGGAGAGUGGAUAGGACCCUUCUAGGGUCGCAUGAUUGCUAGUGGCAAAGCCAGGUCUGAAUCAUAUCACUGCUUAUGGAGAACUUGUUGCCCUCACCAUUGUCCUCAAAUUUCUCCUGUUGACAGCAGGAUCCCUCAGAGAAAAGAUAGCUCCAGCCAAAGAACUCAGUGUAGCCCCAUGAACUCUCCAAAUAAUCAUAAACACAGCUAUAGUAGACAAGAAAGGCUAUCUUCUCAUGACCCUUUCUGUGGUUAAAAUCCUGAAAAACUGGGCACUACGGCUAUAUUCCAAACAUUCUUGCAAAUAGUAUUUCCAGACACAGACAAUGAUUCUCAGAGAUUCUCACCAUAGACGGUGAGGCAGGCCGUUCCUGAGAUCUUCCCAAAACCAAAGGUAUUGAAGAGACACAUGUAAC
This 4105-nucleotide long non-coding RNA is filed under the name Homo sapiens (human). RNAcentral's name for it is "HSALNT0058738". Lineage: Eukaryota; Metazoa; Chordata; Mammalia; Primates; Hominidae. The record is from RNAcentral.